This is a long non-coding RNA of Lathyrus oleraceus (garden pea), 685 nucleotides long. RefSeq lists it as uncharacterized. The record is from RefSeq and is a predicted model, not a curated record. NCBI's taxonomy places the organism in Eukaryota, Viridiplantae, Streptophyta, Magnoliopsida, Fabales, Fabaceae. The transcript is spliced from 3 exons.
GCAUAUUUACCGUGUCAGAUUCUCAGAACACUCCAGCUCCAUCUCCAAGAUCUACUACAACAAAGAAGUUGGUCUCUCCCCUACGGUGUCUUUCCUUGAAAGGGUUUGAAGAACCAGAUGAUGUGCUCCUAAUAUACGAGGUUCAGAUAAAGAAUUAACAGAUGAUUCAGAUAUGAGAGUUCUUGCUCCAAAUCUGAUCAGGAUAAUUGAAAACUCUAUCCUUUCUUUCCACCUUUUCCUAAAAAGGGACAAGAAAAGUCAAGUGGUGUUAUCAACCUGUUUGGAAAUCAGAACUAGCUUGCAACUCCUCUACAACAGAUCCAGUCUAAUAUUAAGAAGAAAUGUGACAAUCGACAAUGAUAAACUUUUCACUAGCAAGCCAAGAAGCUUCUGGAACAUUAUAAGCCUACCAUGUCAAACUGAAAGCCAAACUUUAUGAUUAUUCACAUCUGAGAGUGCUGUAAAGAGUAUGUUGGUUAGUCCACAAGUUAACAACCGAGUUGCAUUCAAGCUAUUGGCUUGAUCGUUUAUCUCAUGAGAGUGACAACAACAUAACACAUAUAAUAUGAAAUUCACGAUCUGAAUCUUCAUCAUGUGAUUGUUCUUGGUACCAUGUUUCACUAUUGGAGAAUAUUUGAUAUUCUGUAAAAAUAUUUGGUUGAAUGAAUGAAGUGGUUUUAUGUUA